AGCUCAAACGUAUGACCUUCUGUGUUUACGACUCCGUUCGAGUAAGUAAAUUAUUCAAUGACUCAUUUAAAACACAAAAAGACUCGCUUGUUGCCUCCUACUGGUAAAAACCAUAGACAGUAAAACUGGUAACCCCCAGAAAGAGUCACUGAACGAGUCGGCGUACGAAUAAAUUGAUUCUUUUGUAGAGAUCAGAAUCAAAGAUUCGAGUCACUGAGACGAUUCUAAAUCUCCACGGCCGGUCAUGUGACUCAACAUGGCGUCAUCAUGAGAUAGAAUAAACCAUAGACAUAUACAUAUUUAUAUGUCUAUGGAAUAAACAACUUUGGGCUUCAGUUUUCACGCCUUCAUUACGGCUCUCAUAAAAACAGUUUUCCAACCACAAGAUGAAAGAUGAAAGACAGAGCAUUUGGAGAGACGUCUCGAUUUCACUCCUUCACACAUGAACAGCUGCAUCAAACUGCACCAGAUAUACACAGACUUGCUGUUCAUGAGUCUCCGUCUUGUUCUGCAGUUCUGGGAUAUAGUCCUGCAUCAUGUUCCUGGCAGUCUUUGAGUCCCCAGAGUGAUGGUGUGAACCGUAACAGAAAUAAGAUUUGCCAGGUUUCCAGGAUGGUCACUCAUUCUGCUGCAAAUGACUGCAGCACAAGUACCAGAUGCACUGUCCAUCACGGCUUGCCAUAAAAAUCUGCCAAAGAUGCUGCUUUGCAGGAAGUUACACAUUCCUUUACGGCACACACACAGGAGUCAGGCGGGAAAAUCCCUGGAGUGAUAGACGCACUGAGCCCUCACAUACUGCUACAGUUGCAAGUGUCUCUCUAACCUCUGUGCCAUCUGCACACCAUGUACGUUUGACCUCCGUUGAAAAGCUCCGGGUAAACAAGUCAUCGCAAGCGUCCCCCCUUCACUUCCAAACAGCUUGUGUCCCAUCAGUACGCAUGUUUUGCCAGGACGGAUGACAGGAAAACAGUUUCAGUUUGUGUUCAUAAUAAGAAACAGAGUACAUGUGACCAGGUGUGCGUUAAUGACAUGCAUUGCUGAUUCUUACAAUCACACAGAGAUCCCAGCAGGCAUGUGCCAAAACCGCUCCACCUCAUCUUAUCGGUUUACUUCACUUAGUGUAGUAUAUGGCUGUAAGAAUAUGAAUGCUUCUGGUCUUCACUUCCUCCUUGAGCCCAGCAGGCAACAGCCCAAACAAAGUGACAAUAAGCCAUCUGUUGUACAAGAGUCGACUGCUGCACAGUCUCCAGUGCCUCCGGAGCUCCUUACUGGGGGACAUUAGCAGGGUUAAACAGUCCUGGAAAGCACAGGCAUAUGCUGCUUCUGCUCAACUGUACAGUCAAUGAAAGCUUGCUUGAAAUCCUUUUCUGUAAUGAUGUUAUGCUUUUGGUAUCCAUUUUUAAGGAAAUCAUCAUGUGAUGAUUAGGUUGGAAACAUGCAAUUUGAUUAAUAAAUGUCAAAGCGUAUGUUUCGGUAAUUGUUUUGUAGGAACCCUCAUCAAGUUUUUUCAUCUGUGUGACAGUUAUCAGCCUUUUUUCCCCUUUUUAUGUCACCAAUCACCUUUAGCUAGAGCGUAUUGAAAAAAGCCAUUGAUCUUUAAAAUGCAGUGCUUUAAUAUGACAGUAACAGUAGUACGUGAUGCAGGAAGUCAAAUUGUGGAGAUUGAUGAGGGUUUAUAGGUGAAUUAUAAUCCAUCUACCUGAGUGAUGUCUGUGCUGUUUUCCAUACCAGCAGGCCAACAAAUACAUAAAACCCACAAAGGUGACACUAGGAAUUGAUACUUAACAAUCCCUCUGAGCAACAAGCACUAGAAGCAGCUCUGACUGAGAGGAAAACUCCCCGGGAGAGACAGAGAGUGAGAGAGAAAUGGCAAAGCUGGGAAGGUUAAUGGGAAAGAAUGGACUGGAUUUGCCAAAGGUCACACAUACAGAGUCAGCACCUUGUUUAUGAUUAGAAGAGGUCUGAGCACAGCUUGUGUUUGAGCCACUUAAUAAAGCACUUUAAAUGACUAUUGAUUCAUGCUUCAGAAAGACAACUGUGAAUCUACUAUGAGGUUGUUACCUUUGUUUGCUUAAGAUCCAGCGUAUUUAAUCCUUAAUGAGAGGCUGUAAGGUAAAGUGUGGUCGCAGAGGUUGAUCCUUUCCUUUUUAAUUGGCCUGAGGAUCUAUAUUUCAUCAUAAUAAAUAAUGUUGUAUCUUCUAAUUUCUAAAAUUGUAGUCGGCCAUGAGAUGUUUGAAGACAAAUUGUGAAUUUUAAUGGCCGGUGGACCAUCUCUUAUGCAAAUUGACUGUAGAAUUAAUUGAUUCGAUCCAAUUUCCAGAUCCUUAACUAGAUUGUGGGAUUACUAACUAAAUCUAGAAAGUGAUGUAUGUAUGGUGUCCUGUGGGCAGUGUGGUGCGAGGCCUUAACUGGCCGUUCUGCCAAUUUUUCAAAAAUUCCCAAGAUGAACUUAUUUGUAGCGUAGGACGUAAUCUCAUUCUCUGCGCUGAAACGGGAUGUGAAGAUGGUGAGCAACUGAUGAGAGUCUGUUAGUGCACUCAGUCUAGGUUAGUACUUUGGAUCAAUGCGUGACCCUAUUGGAUAAAAAUUGGGAAUUUGGCAGAACUGACCUUUAGAUGAAAAUAAAUGGAAUUAGAGCAAAUAAAAAGAAAGCAAUAUCCAGUUAGACUAGUAAAAUUACAAAGUGUAUGAGUAUAAUUACUUGAUGUAAGUAAUGAGGUUGCAUAGUGUAAUGAUGAUUUCCUCAUGAGGAUAUUGAUGCUGAUAGGUUGCUGUGGAGAAAGUGUGGCAUGGUGUGCUUUUGUUCAAGUGUGCAUGUUUUGUGCACUCUAGCAUUCAUAAAAAUGACAUGCUACCCUCUGUAUUCUUUUAUAUUUAUCAGUGAAACCCAGAUCUACGUAUUUUGGCUGAUUCAGCAAUAUACAUUAAUAUAGAAACAUGUUUUUAUCUUAUAUGUAUUGUGAACUUUUUGCACUAUUAAUAUUCAAGUUGGAUGAAUGAUAUAUUAGUGCUAUGUCAUUGGUUAUGGACCGCAAUUGUGAAUUUAUUAGAAUUAGUAAUGGAUAUGUAUCCUCUGAUAUUGGAUAUUUAAGUGCAUUCUUGUUUUUGUGCAUGCAAAUUUUUACAUUUAGAUUACCUUUGCCACCCUUCAUAUAAUCUUUAAUAACACUAUUAAUUUAAUAACUGUCAAAUAAUUUUUUUAAAGAAUAUUAAAAUUAAUAUACGACUUUCUUACAAACCUAAUUCCAGAAAAGUUAGGAUUUUUCGUGAAAUGCCGUAAAAUCAAGAAUGUUAUUUGUUCAUUCUCUUUAACCUUUAUUUAAUUGAUGAAAUUACAAAGAAAUAAUUCCCAAUUUUCUCACUGGACAACUUCAUUUUAUUUUGUAAAUAUGAACAGAUUUUAAUGGCUGCAACACACUCUAAAAAAGCUGGGAUAGAGGCAUGUUUAACACUGUGUCACAUCAGCUUUAAUAUAAUUUUUUUAUUAAAAUGUUUAUGUCACAUGUAUGAUCUGUUUUAGUUUAGUUUUCUGUGUCCCCAUUACCCUGCCUAGUUAGUUUCCAUGGGUUUUUAUUAAUUAGCUCCAUGCCUGUUUCUGUCCUUCUUAAUUACAUUCCCAGUAUUUACAGUUUUUUUCAGUCGCUAACAAGCAUUUGUCCAAGCAGUUGUCACAUUUUCAAAA
Molecule: long non-coding RNA, 3682 nt
Organism: Carassius auratus (goldfish)
Lineage: Eukaryota; Metazoa; Chordata; Actinopteri; Cypriniformes; Cyprinidae
Exons: 8
Source: RefSeq, a predicted model, not a curated record